Molecule: long non-coding RNA, 1855 nt
Organism: Eriocheir sinensis (Chinese mitten crab)
Lineage: Eukaryota; Metazoa; Arthropoda; Malacostraca; Decapoda; Varunidae
Exons: 2
Source: RefSeq, a predicted model, not a curated record
UGGGAAUAUAGCUCAGUCUUGGCUGGGACGUGAGAGGGGGAGGGUGUUGUCGCUCCUCUCCUCAGUCACUCAACUUUUGCUCAGCGAGGGAAAGAAAACGGGAAGUUGUCUGUUGAAGGAGGAACAUAAAGGAAACUAACAGACAGACAGACAGACAGACAGGUAAACAAACGGAGCAAGAGAAAAAAGAACAGAGACGCGGACACAUACCAAACAGCAAAAAGAGAAAAACGAAAAGAAAAAAGAAAGAGGUAAAUACAAGAAACAAAGCGAAACCAAGAGACAGAGAAAGAGAAAAUCAGUGAAGGAAACGAAGGAGACAAACCAAAAAAAAAAAAGAAAAGAAAAAAAAACAGCGAAAAUUAAAGUGCACGAGAAAGAGAGAAAACUUAUGAUGGAACUAGAAUAAAAAAAUAGCAAUAAAAAGUGAGAAAAAAGAAAAAAAGCAAGAAAGAAAGCGAAGCAGAAACUAACACAAAGGAAAGAGGAAGAAAAAACAAAAAAAAAUUAGAAAAAGAGAAUUGGAGAAAAGAAGAGGAAAGAGAAGAAGAGAGGGAAGGACACAAAACAAAAUAAAAGAAGAGACCAAAGAGAAGAGAAAAACAAAAGAACAAAGAAUAACCAACAACAGAAAUCAAUAAAAAAAUAGAAAGACGUAAAAAGAUAAAAAGAAAAGAGGAGAUAAGAAAAGAGAAGACAAGAGAAAAGAGAAUAAAGGAGAAGAAAAUAAAAAAAACGAAAAGCAUAACCAACAACGGAAUCCAACAACAACAACAACAACAUAGAACGAAAUAAAAAGCUAAAAAUAAAACCGAAUAAAGGAAGGAAGAAUAAGAGGCGAAAAGAAGAAAAAAAAGGGCAAUAAACGAGUCGACAAAUCAGGGCAAGAACGAAGCAGGGAUUGAAACGUGAGAUGAAGCUCCGAAACUGACUGAGACGAAGCAGUAAACCGGCGGCCCUUUCAUCCCUGUGGACCCUUGGGAGGAGGAGGAGGAGGGAGGAGGAGGGAAGAAGAGAAGAAGGAAGGAGGCAAAGGAGGAGGGAGCGAAAAAAGGACACUAAGGAGGAGGAGAAGGAGGAGGAGGAGGAGGGAGCAGUGAAAGAAGAUUAAGGAGGAGGAGGAGGCGGAGGAAGAGAAGGAGGAGUAAAAGGAAGGCUAAUAAGAAGCCAAAAAGAGAAGAAAAGGAAGAAAGAAGACAAGAGGAGAGAAAGGAGGAAGGGAAGAGUCAAAAUAAAGAGGAAAAAAUAAGAGAAAAAUUAAGGAGAGGGAGGAAGAUGAAGAAAACAGAUAACUGGACGUAAGGAAAAGCAAGAGGAAGAGGAAGAGGAAGAGAGUAGUAAAAUAAGAAAGCAGCAAGAGGAAAGAGGAGCAGAGAGAGGAAGAGAAAGUGGAAUCAGAGGAAUUGAAAAAGAUUAGGAUUGAAAAGAUUAGGGGAAAGGAAAGAGGAACAGGAGGAGAAUGAGGAAGUGGAAGCAAAAUAUUGGGAGGUAUUAAGAUUAAGAGAAACACAGAAAGAGGAAAGAGGGAUUAAAGAAGAACAUGAAAAGGACGAUAAUCUAGAGAAAAGAAAAGAGUAAAAACAAUCGAACUAAAAAAACAAGAAGGGAAAGAAGAAGAAAAAGAAAAAGAAGAGGAAGAAGAAAAAGAAAAAGAAAACCAAGAAAAAUAAGGAAAAGAAAAAAAGAAAAUAGACAAGAACAAAAGACAAAACAACAAGAAAAUAAACAAGAUAAAAAAAAAACACAAAAGCAAGGCGGCAAAGACAAAGCAGAAAAGAACGAGAAGAAAAGCAAAAUAAACAACGUGACAAAAAGCAAGAUAGUGAAAAACAAAAACAUGAACUAGAACACGAAC